Molecule: ribosomal RNA, 920 nt
Filed under: Pyrenophora graminea
Lineage: Eukaryota; Fungi; Ascomycota; Dothideomycetes; Pleosporales; Pleosporaceae
Description: LSU rRNA
Rfam family: Eukaryotic large subunit ribosomal RNA
Source: RNAcentral
UUAAGCAUAUCAAUAAGCGGAGGAAAAGAAACCAACAGGGAUUGCCCUAGUAACGGCGAGUGAAGCGGCAACAGCUCAAAUUUGAAAUCUGGCUCUUUUAGAGUCCGAGUUGUAAUUUGCAGAGGGCGCUUUGGCUUUGGCAGCGGUCCAAGUUCCUUGGAACAGGACGUCACAGAGGGUGAGAAUCCCGUACGUGGUCGCUAGCUAUUGCCGUGUAAAGCCCCUUCGACGAGUCGAGUUGUUUGGGAAUGCAGCUCUAAAUGGGAGGUAAAUUUCUUCUAAAGCUAAAUACUGGCCAGAGACCGAUAGCGCACAAGUAGAGUGAUCGAAAGAUGAAAAGCACUUUGGAAAGAGAGUCAAACAGCACGUGAAAUUGUUGAAAGGGAAGCGCUUGCAGCCAGACUUGCUUGCAGUUGCUCAUCCGGGCUCUUUUGCCCGGUGCAUUCUUCUGCAGGCAGGCCAGCAUCAGUUUGGGCGGUGGGAUAAAGGUCUCUGUCACGUACCUCUCUUCGGGGAGGCCUUAUAGGGGAGACGACAUACCACCAGCCUGGACUGAGGUCCGCGCAUUUAUGCUAGGAUGCUGGCGUAAUGGCUGUAAGCGGCCCGUCUUGAAACACGGACCAAGGAGUCUAACAUCUAUGCGAGUGUUUGGGUGUCAAGCCCGAACGCGUAAUGAAAGUGAACGGAGGUGGGAACCCGCAAGGGUGCACCAUCGACCGAUCCUGAUGUCUUCGGAAGGAUUUGAGUAAGAGCAUGGCUGUUGGGACCCGAAAGAUGGUGAACUAUGCUUGAAUAGGGUGAAGCCAGAGGAAACUCUGGUGGAGGCUCGCAGCGGUUCUGACGUGCAAAUCGAUCGUCAAAUUUGGGCAUAGGGGCGAAAGACUAAUCGAACUUUCUAGUAGCUGGGUUCCUGCCGAAGU